This 121-nucleotide transfer RNA is filed under the name Hortaea werneckii EXF-2000. It matches the Rfam family "tRNA". From Rfam's summary of the family: Transfer RNA (tRNA) molecules are approximately 80 nucleotides in length. Their secondary structure includes four short double-helical elements and three loops (D, anti-codon, and T loops). The record is from Rfam by way of RNAcentral. Lineage: Eukaryota; Fungi; Ascomycota; Dothideomycetes; Mycosphaerellales; Teratosphaeriaceae.
GCGUUGAUGGUUUAGUGGUAAAAUUGGCCGUUGCCACCUUGAUCUAGAAUAAGAAGGAGCGCAGUUCCUUCCUGAACAGGAUAAUAUCGGCCAGCCCCGGGUUCGAUUCCCGGUCGACGCA